UUCAGAAUCGUGAUAUUGAUUUCUUUUUUGUCAAAUACCUUCCCGAGAGCCAUGAGAUGAUUUACAAUAUGAGUGAAUCAUUUAUGCACAUCAUAAAUGGUUUCUCCAACUUUCAUUUUGAACAAUUCAUACUCUUGUAUCAAGGAGUUCUUUCUUGCUCUCUAUACUUCAUCUGUGCCUUCAUGAGUUACCUCUAAGACAUCCCACAUUUCCUUU
This 216-nucleotide long non-coding RNA is filed under the name Vigna radiata. RNAcentral's name for it is "long non-coding RNA (VRAD_LNC011460)". The record is from RNAcentral. Lineage: Eukaryota; Viridiplantae; Streptophyta; Magnoliopsida; Fabales; Fabaceae.